RNAcentral lists this ribosomal RNA (443 nucleotides) under uncultured bacterium. RNAcentral describes it as "partial 16S ribosomal RNA". It matches the Rfam family "Bacterial small subunit ribosomal RNA", at positions 338 to 795 of the family's 1533-position model. The record is from RNAcentral.
CCUACGGGAGGCAGCAGUGGGGAAUAUUGGGCAAUGGGCGCAAGCCUGACCCAGCAACGCCGCGUGAAGGAAGAAGGCUUUCGGGUUGUAAACUUCUUUUCUCAGGGACGAAGCAAGUGACGGUACCUGAGGAAUAAGCCACGGCUAACUACCUGCCAGCAGCCGCGGGAAUACGUAGGUGGCAAGCGUUAUCCGGAUUUACUGGGUGUAAAGGGCGUGUAGGCGGGAAAUCAAGUCAGAUGUGAAAACCAUGGGCUCAACCUGUGGCCUGCAUUUGAAACUGUUUUUCUUGAGUACUGGAGAGGCAGACGGAAUUCCUAGUGUAGCGGUGAAAUGCGUAGAUAUUAGGAGGAACACCAGUGGCGAAGGCGGUCUGCUGGACAGCAACUGACGCUGAGGCGCGAAAGCGUGGGGAGCAAACAGGAUUAGAUACCCCAGUAGUC